GAAAACUGAGUAUUUCAAGAGACUUCGUUGGGAGUGCCCUCUCAGAUAUGAGGAAAGGUUGAGCAUUUUUGCAGGUCUGCCUGUCCGUGGAGGAUGGAGGUCGACAUAUAUAGGAGUCUACCUAACAACAAGUAGUAAUGUUAUUACUUUACCCUUCUUGGUCGUAGCAAUGUAAUGGGAGCUGCAAGUUUCACGUGUUUUAACUUUGUCAAAGCACUUUGAAAAAGUGGUAUGUGGUAUCUGGAAAGCUAAUGUUGCGUGUGAAGAUUGCAGACAAGCUUUAUCAAGGAAAUCUGGCUCUAGAAGUUCGGAGAGCGAUGCCUCUUCAGUUUUCGAACAAGCAAUCAUGUCGGGGAUCUGGCUCUUGAGAUUCAGAGAGCGGUGCCUCUUCGAUUUUUGAGAAAGCAAUCCUGUUGGGAGUCUGGAUCUUGAGAUUCGGAGAGUGGUGCCUCUUCGAUUUUUGAUAAAGUAAUCCUGUUGGGAGUCUGGCUUUCGAGAUUCGGAGGGCGGUGCCUCUUCGAUUUUUGAGCAAGUAAUAAUGCUAUUCUUUUACCCUUCUUAGUCAUAGCAAUGUAGCGAGAGCUGCAAGCUUCACAUGUUUUAACUUUGUCAGAGCACUUUGAAAAAGUGGUAUGUGGUAUCUAGAAAGCUGAUGUUGCGUGUGAAGAUUGUAGACAAGCUUUAUCCAAGGAAAUCUGG
RNAcentral lists this long non-coding RNA (699 nucleotides) under Malus domestica (apple). RNAcentral's name for it is "long non-coding RNA (MDOM_LNC009508)". Lineage: Eukaryota; Viridiplantae; Streptophyta; Magnoliopsida; Rosales; Rosaceae. The record is from RNAcentral.